This 691-nucleotide ribosomal RNA is filed under the name uncultured bacterium. RNAcentral describes it as "bacterial SSU rRNA". It matches the Rfam family "Bacterial small subunit ribosomal RNA", at positions 69 to 785 of the family's 1533-position model. The record is from RNAcentral.
CUUGCUUUCUCAAGCGAGUGGCGAACGGGUGAGUAACGCGUGAGGAACCUGCCUCAAAGAGGGGGACAACAGUUGGAAACGACUGCUAAUACCGCAUAAGCCCACAGCUCGGCAUCGAGCAGAGGGAAAAGGAGCAAUCCGCUUUGAGAUGGCCUCGCGUCCGAUUAGCUAGUUGGUGAGGUAAUGGCCCACCAAGGCGACGAUCGGUAGCCGGACUGAGAGGUUGAACGGCCACAUUGGGACUGAGACACGGCCCAGACUCCUACGGGAGGCAGCAGUGGGGAAUAUUGCACAAUGGGGGAAACCCUGAUGCAGCGACGCCGCGUGGAGGAAGAAGGUCUUCGGAUUGUAAACUCCUGUUGUUGAGGAAGAUAAUGACGGUACUCAACAAGGAAGUGACGGCUAACUACGUGCCAGCAGCCGCGGUAAAACGUAGGUCACAAGCGUUGUCCGGAAUUACUGGGUGUAAAGGGAGCGCAGGCGGGAAGGCAAGUUGGAAGUGAAAUCUAUGGGCUCAACCCAUAAACUGCUUUCAAAACUGUUUUUCUUGAGUAGUGCAGAGGUAGGCGGAAUUCCCGGUGUAGCGGUGGAAUGCGUAGAUAUCGGGAGGAACACCAGUGGCGAAGGCGGCCUACUGGGCACCAACUGACGCUGAGGCUCGAAAGUGUGGGUAGCAAACAGGAUUAGAUAC